GCUGGGGUUCCACCUUGCUUGUGCAGCCCGCCGUUGCGUCUGGUUGGGUGUCUUUAAACGGAUGCCCAUCUUUGGACGUGACCCCUUUACCUUGAACAAAUCGGAGUGCUCAAAGCAGGCUCCUUUCGCUCGAACGGUAGCGCAUGGAAAUAAUGGAAAAGGACCCGCUUUCUUUUCUGUUGGUCUAACGAAAGCAGGUAAUGAUCAAGAGGGACGGAUGGGGGCAGAGGUAUGGCUCGGCGAGAGGUGAAAUUCUUGGACCCCAGCCAGACCCUCGAGAGCGAAAGCAUCUGCCAAAGAUGUUUCCAUUGAUCAAGAACGAAAGUCGCGGGAUCGAAGCGGAUUAGAGACCCGGACGUAGUCGCGACCGUAAACGAUGCCAACCGGGAAUUUGACAGCGUUACUUCCAUGACCUGCCAAGCGCCCGACCCGGGAAACCGAGAGUUUUUGGGUUCCGGGGGGAGUAUGGUUGCAAAGCUGAAACUUAAAGGAAUUGACGGAAGGGCACCACCAGGAGUGGAGCCUGCGGCUUAAUUUGACUCAACACGGGGAACCUCACCCGGCCCGGACACCGCGAGGAUUGACAGACUGAGAGCUCUUUCUCGAUUCGGUGGGUGGUGGUGCAUGGCCGUUCUUAGUUGGUGGAGCGAUCUGUCUGGUUAAUUCCGAUAACGAACGAGACCCCAUCCUGCUAACUAGCCCUCGGGUCCGGCUUCUGGCGGGCCCGAUGGAAUGACUCGCUUCUUAGAGGGACUCGCGGCGCCUAGCCGCACGAAGGGGGGCGAUAACAGGUCUGUGAUGCCCUUAGAUGUUCGGGGCUGCACGCGCGCUACACUGAAGGCACCAGCGUGCGCUUUGUCCGUUCCCUGCCUGAAAAGGCCGGGUAACCCGCUGAACCGCCUUCGUGCCUGGGAUAGGGAUUUGCAAUUAUCUCCCUUGAACGAGGAAUUCCCAGUAGGCGCGAGUCAUCAGCUCGCGUCGAUUACGUCCCUGCCCUUUGUACACACCGCCCGUCGCUACUACCGAU
This 1027-nucleotide ribosomal RNA is filed under the name Spadella cephaloptera. RNAcentral's name for it is "SSU rRNA". It matches the Rfam family "Eukaryotic small subunit ribosomal RNA", at positions 666 to 1689 of the family's 1831-position model. The record is from RNAcentral. Lineage: Eukaryota; Metazoa; Chaetognatha; Sagittoidea; Phragmophora; Spadellidae.